Cladobotryum mycophilum is the source of this 75-nucleotide non-coding RNA. The record is from the annotation of a GenBank genome assembly. NCBI's taxonomy places the organism in Eukaryota, Fungi, Ascomycota, Sordariomycetes, Hypocreales, Hypocreaceae.
GAGGGAGUGGCGCAGUGGUAAUAGCGCUUGGUGACCUAUCUCGAAAGGUCGUGGGUUCGAAUCCUGCCUCCCUCA